Molecule: ribosomal RNA, 253 nt
Filed under: uncultured bacterium
Lineage: Bacteria
Description: partial 16S ribosomal RNA
Rfam family: Bacterial small subunit ribosomal RNA
Source: RNAcentral
UACGUAGGGGGCAAGCGUUGUCCGGAAUCAUUGGGCGUAAAGCGCGUGUAGGCGGUCCGGUAAGUCCGCUGUGAAAGUCGGGGGCUCAACCCUCGGAUGCCGGUGGAUACUGUCGGGCUUGAGUACGGAAGAGGCGAGUGGAAUUCCUGGUGUAGCGGUGAAAUGCGCAGAUAUCAGGAGGAACACCGGUGGCGAAGGCGGGAUCCUGGGCCAGUACUGACGCUGAGGAGCGAAAGCGUGGGGAGCAAACAGG